GACGAACGCUGGCGGCGUGCCUAAUACAUGCAAGUAGAACGCAGUUGCGAACGGGUGAGUAACGCGUAGGUAACUGCCUGGUAGCGGGGGAUAACUAUUGGAAACGAUAGCUAAUACCGCAUACUACCAGAUGGACCUGCGUUGUAUUAGCUAGUUGGUGGGGUAACGGCUCACCAAGGCAACGAUACAUAGCCGAGCUGGAAGGGAGGUCGGCCACACUGGGACUGGGGCACGGCCCAGACUCCCACGGGAGGCAGCAGUAGGGAAUCUUCGGCAAAGGGGGGAAACCUGACCGAGCAACGGCGCGUGAGUGAAGAAGGUUUUCGGAUCGUAAAGCUCUGUUGUGAAGGAAGCGUUACUUAACCAGAAAGGGACGGCUAACUACGUGCCAGCAGCCGCGGUAAUAC
This 407-nucleotide ribosomal RNA is filed under the name uncultured bacterium. RNAcentral's name for it is "partial 16S ribosomal RNA". It matches the Rfam family "Bacterial small subunit ribosomal RNA", at positions 28 to 526 of the family's 1533-position model. The record is from RNAcentral.